ACGUCCCCCGCUCCUUCUAUCUGUCCUUCCUCACCGUGGGGCCCCCAUGUCCCCCGCAGGGGCUGUGGCGAGCAGAGCAGCUUCCCCAAACCCACAGACCAGCCUCUCCGAAGGCACCCCUGCACCCGGCCCCGGGGAGGGGGUCUCCGCCCCAGGCAGGACGGCCGAGAGGCUGCACAGAGCAGCGGUUUUCCGGGACGGAGGCAGGACGCCACCACGGACACAAACAAGCCUUUAACCCGGUGGUGCGUGUUGUUCGGGGAGCCCUGACCACGGCGACGUCUCGGGAACCGGGUGUGGCGACGAAUGCCGUGGACAGCGCGGGACUCGGCAGCGGGGCUGGGAGAGGCGGCGGGCGUGGGAGGGUCAGGCCUCGGGGUCGGGAGGCCCCCGCCUGUCAGAAGGAGCGGGGGACGUGCCGACCGCGCUCGUUUUAGAACGGAAGAAGGAACAACCGGGAGCGCCUUCACCGGAGGCCGCCUGGGCAGCGAGUUGGAAGAAACUUGAUUCUCAACAAGCCUGAGGCUGUAAUUAAAGCUCGUUAUUACCCCGUGAGGUUUUGCCACUCACGGCGCAAAGAUUUUAAUCCAAUACAGAAACUACAUGAGAUCACCUCUUUCGUGUUGUGGGUGGCAGAGCUUCACGCUGCAGAAAAAGCAAGCAGGCUCUCAACAGGAGAGAGGCUGAUCUGCGAACUAGAUGGCGACUCGUGCGGACAAAGCCAGGUGCGGCUGGCCUGGUGCUUCCGGGACACACAGGCUCCUGCCCCAGCAGAGGCCCCUCCAAGUCCUACGGUGCACCAGCGGGAAUCCCUCUAUGGACUGGCUGUCAUGAGGAACAGCAGAGACCGGGCCUGACUGCCGGAGGGCUUCCUGUAAGCGGAACCCCACAGUACGCACGCCCCGUGCCUGCCGCAGGGAGCGUCUGCCGCGACGCGAAUCCCCGUUCCGGCAGCAGCAGCGGCUUCCUCUGCUCAAGGCUGAGCGCCGUCCCCACGACCUCCACGCGCUUGCGGAUGGACAUCUGGGUGGUUGCCGGUUCCUGGCAAGGCUAACAGUGUUGAACGAGGUUUCCACGUGUUUUACGUUAAGCCCCUAGACGUGGAAUUGCUAGGUCACGGGAUAUCAGUUCCAUUAAUAAACGAGUGCGUUCUCCAGACGGUGCUCCGCUGAGAUCGGUGUGCGGCCCUCCGGCUAGACCCACACCCUCGCCUCCACGGGAAUGGGCGGAUGUUAACUUUCGCCUCCUGGCAG
Long non-coding RNA from Mustela lutreola (European mink), 1253 nucleotides. RefSeq lists it as uncharacterized. The transcript has 2 exons. The record is from RefSeq and is a predicted model, not a curated record. NCBI's taxonomy places the organism in Eukaryota, Metazoa, Chordata, Mammalia, Carnivora, Mustelidae.